AAUCUUCCACAUAUGGGCGAAAGCCUGAUGGAGCAACGCCGCGUGAGUGAAGAAGGAUUUCGGUUCGUAAAACUCUGUUGUAAGGGAAGAACAAGUACAGUAGUAACUGGCUGUACCUUGACGGUACCUUAUUAGAAAGCCACGGCUAACUACGUGCCAGCAGCCGCGGUAAUACGUAGGUGGCAAGCGUUGUCCGGAAUUAUUGGGCGUAAAGCGCGCGCAGGUGGUUUCUUAAGUCUGAUGUGAAAGCCCACGGCUCAACCGUGGAGGGUCAUUGGAAACUGGGAGACUUGAGUGCAGAAGAGGAUAGUGGAAUUCCAAGUGUAGCGGUGAAAUGCGUAGAGAUUUGGAGGAACACCAGUGGCGAAGGCGACUAUCUGGUCUGUAACUGACACUGAGGCGCGAAAGCGUGGGGAGCAAACAGGAUUAGAUACCCUGGUAGUCCACGCCGUAAACGAUGAGUGCUAAGUGUUAGGGGGUUUCCGCCCCUUAGUGCUGCAGCUAACGCAUUAAGCACUCCGCCUGGGGAGUACGGUCGCAA
This 541-nucleotide ribosomal RNA is filed under the name uncultured bacterium. Its description in RNAcentral is "bacterial SSU rRNA". It matches the Rfam family "Bacterial small subunit ribosomal RNA", at positions 359 to 891 of the family's 1533-position model. The record is from RNAcentral.